Long non-coding RNA from Solenopsis invicta (red fire ant), 2668 nucleotides. RefSeq lists it as uncharacterized. NCBI's taxonomy places the organism in Eukaryota, Metazoa, Arthropoda, Insecta, Hymenoptera, Formicidae. The record is from RefSeq and is a predicted model, not a curated record. The transcript has 2 exons.
CUUUCUGUAACACACAAACGCGAUCGUUACCACCGCAUCGCUUCCUUUCCGUUUCGUAAAAGAUGACCUAUCUUGGAAUUCUUUCCAGAAUCCCCACAUUUUGCUGAGUAGGAAACGUACAGUUGGAGAGAGAAAGAGAAUUUGUACGAAAACGCAAUCUUCUUAAAAUCGUAUUAUAAGAAAGAGAUCUGGGACAGGAAGAAUUAACUGUCGUUAAAUUUCAAGUUUAUCUCUAACAUCCGCGAGAAUUCACCGCGUAUUUAUAUCAAGACGCAGCCUGCUUGUUCUGCGGCCCGGUCGUUGGCGUACGGGGUUCCGCGCCUCCGGCAUUGCUGGCGCCGCUUCCUGGUGCCGCUGUUGCUCCUGCUCCACCGCUCGCGGGGCCGCCGCUACCACUUGCUGGAGAUUUGCUAGAGGGACUACCGGUCGUCCUGGAAAGAAAAGACGCGAAAUUUGUCACAUUACAUUGUCUGUACCCCGCAUUCACUCUCGGUGUAAGGUCUAUGUGUUUCCUCUGCUUUCGCGUCUUCCCUCACUUUUAAGCAGACAUAGCGGUCGACACAGGAUCGUCCGUGACAGCGUUGAAGGGAUACCAAAGCGAAACUUGACAACGUUUAUUCGUUUUGUUAGUCUCCAGAGACUAAUCAUUAUUGCCACUCGGGAAGCUUCUAAAUUUUAAACGUUACGUUAUUUAUAUUUACAGUGUCAUUAUUUUUUUACAUAAUUACUAGAGAGAAAGUCUCUCAUUUUGUCUCGCGUUUUUUAUUUUUUCUUCUUCUUGCAAAUUUUUAAAAAACGUCGAAGCAGAUCUUUCAGCUUUCGCAGCAUGGUUUUUCCCAUUAGACCGUAAUUUUAUAUACUUUGAGGAUAUUAAAUAUUCCAUCGAGUUAAAUAUCCAAUUGAUUAAUCCAAAAUCACGAAGCGCGAAAAUUACGCGAUUGUUCGAUCGCGACCCAUGCGCGCGAGCUGCGUGUAUUCAUACAAUUAAAUCUGCGUCAGCUACAAUUACUUUCGACGCUUGCCCGCCGCGUUCCGUUUUACGGGACGCUAAAUCAGCAUGAAAGUCUAAACGAGAUAAAUAUUGCCAUUGUUGUAGCGGCGAUAACGCUUUAGAAACGCCCCGAUUGAUUCGAAACUUGCUGACAGUGAGGAGGGAUGGGGUUCUCUGCUCGAGCCCCAUGCGAUACAUGCACAGGCUUAUCAACAGUGGCGUACAUCCCAGCGAUAUGUUUCUGUAAUACGUUAGGCAUAAUAGGCGACCUAGGAUCUAGAUAAAUCUUAUCGCUCUCCCACUACUGUAUCGCAUCUAUUGCGAGCACACUAUGCUGCUAAUCGAGACAGCAUUCUCUCGCAGGCACGCAAGCCGAUACGCUUCCAGCAUGUCAUCGGCUUAUUAAUAGUUGCUGUUUACUACCAGUCGCGACUGCGGAGCGUCCAUAACUGUGCAGAGACGGCUGAAGCCAACGGCAAGAGAAAAAUGAAUUUUACGGCAUGUAUAUAUAUAUACAUAUAUAUAUAUAUAUAUAUAUAAAAGAGAGGAAGAGGGCGAGGGUGAAGAUCGAUGCGAGUGGUAAGCACAGGCUGAGAAUGCUCGAUACAGAGAAACGCUAAUGGUCUCAACUGUUCUACGGAAAGGUAAAAAGGAAUAAUUGCAAGUCUUACAAAACGAAAAGGCAGGUGAACGUAAGUCGCGCAAGGCCAUGAAGGAAUAACUAUUCAUACGUACCUAUGCAAUUUAAUAUCGUGUAUCAAAGUCCAACGAAGCGAGUAAAAAAAAACUAUUCCGCUAAACGUAGCCAAAGAUAUAACGAACGCUUAGCGUUGUACCUUCGUUAUCUCACUUAACCCUCAGCUGACGCACAGGGUUUCAUGCACCCUCUAUUUACAAAAAUGCUUGGCAUUUAUAAACCGUAAGAGUUAGGGGGACAGAAGUUGGGGAAUAUUUAUAUUAAUUUCCCCACUACUGAGUCUAUAUGGUAGCAGUCUCCGAGAAUCGAAUGAAAAUUUUACACAGUCGUGUUUUUUCAAGUUAUGGGUGUACUACACCUAGUGUGUCAGAAACGUACGUAUCGAAGAAAAAAAAUUAGAUUUAUCUUUAACAAGCAAAAAUAAGUUGAUUAACAACAUUUUCUAUAAUUUUUUACUCUAUUUUUAUACUCUGACCAACGAGAGACUGGUUCGUUUCUGCGUUUUGAUAAAAAAUGUCACGAUUUCAUCACUGCAAGAAAAAGCAGUGUAGCUGGCGUAUGCGAUACCUUUACAGAAUGUUAGAUCAGGCUAGCAUUAAUUCGUUCAUAAUUUAUAAUUUAAUGAGAGAUAAUUCAAAAAAAUGUCGCAAAAACUACAUAGAGAUUUAACUGGAGCUUUCAUCAAGCCAUUUUUGACACAUCGUCUCACUUCUUCAACGUUACGAACGGUAUAGCGUGUACAAAUUGAAAGUUUCUUAGAUUAUACAGACAUUCCCAAAGUUCAAGAUUCUUGCGGUUUGUGUUGGCAAAAAAUAAAAUAGCAAACCAGAAAGAUGCUCAUUAUGUCCGUCUACCUUUGAUCGAAAAACAUCGUAUAAGUGAGUUUGAAAUGUGACAAACCGAUGUGUAAGCAACAUACUGCAAAAAUUUGUUGCAAAUGUUCCAUUCAAGUAAAUAAUAAUAAAAUAUAUUAUAUUGUA